This is a long non-coding RNA of Hemicordylus capensis (graceful crag lizard), 586 nucleotides long. RefSeq lists it as uncharacterized. The record is from RefSeq and is a predicted model, not a curated record. The transcript is spliced from 3 exons. NCBI's taxonomy places the organism in Eukaryota, Metazoa, Chordata, Lepidosauria, Squamata, Cordylidae.
GGAGGAGUUGCUUCUGAGUAUGGGAGCCAGGAGUUCUCCAGGAGAGGGAACUGGCUGAAUGCAGCAAGCCAGGAGGAGUACUCAGCCAUGCAGGGUCCCACACUGCAUAGGAGCAGCAGCCUCAAAAAUGGCCGUCGCGCAAUGGAAUAGGCCUGGAAAGGGUCAAAGAUGCCCCAAAUAGGGCUCCUUUAUGAGAUUUCAGUGCCAAGAUGCAAGUUCCAGUGACAGAACCAGCACGAUAUAUUCUGCUACCCAGCGAAAUCUGUUCAGCUGAGCCCUUCCUCUGUUCAGAAUCCUAAUGUGAUGCUCAGGCAACAUGUUCUGGCCACCAGGCAUCGUGCAGCCACGUGUGUGCUUCAUCCCCUGCAGGAAGAUUUAUGGGCUUCUAUUUUAAGGAUUGGAGGGGGGGAAAUUGGCAUCUCUAUGCUGUUCAUUUGGCCAAACUGUAAUAUGCUAAUUAAACCUUCUGACCUGAAUUACAAAAUGCUUAGGGAGGUUCAGUCAGUCUAAGUGCCUGAUUGGCUGAGCAGUUCUAACCUUCUGGGGGUUUUCUCCUUAAAUAAAGCAUCUUGCAUUGUGAAGCAAA